This 118-nucleotide ribosomal RNA is filed under the name Candidatus Omnitrophota bacterium. The record is from RNAcentral. Lineage: Bacteria; Pseudomonadati; Candidatus Omnitrophota.
UCUGGUGACUAUAGCGAAAGGGCCACACCCGUUCCCAUUCCGAAUACGGUCGUUAAGCCUUUCUGCGCCGAUGGUACUGCUCUGGAUAACGGAGCGGGAGAGUAGGUCGUCACCGGGG